GCCGGGGCCGCUGGCAUUCCUCGGCAGGCCCAGCCCUCCGCAGGCCGGGCCUCAUCCGCCUGAGUGUGUCCCAAGGCACGGAGCCGCCAGCAUCCUGUGUGUCCAGCACCCUGGGUGACUGAGGUUCCCAGCUCAGGCGGCCAUGGUUCUGCCAACUGCCACAUGCUGGCUACUUGCCCUGGUGGCACUCUUGGGAACCAUGAAAAGUCUGUGUUCAGAUCUUGUCACAUUCCGUGGUUCAUGCCCCUAUUUAGAUUCACUUUCCCGGCAAAUGUAAUGACAGUGACAGAAAGCAGCCGAGCUGCCUGCGGCCAGGUGGGGGAGAUGGACAGGAGGAGGCAGAGGGUUCACACAGGCACACACAUUGGUACAGGACUCCUGGAGCUGGACAGUGAAAUGGGUGUCAUCCAUUGUGUGUAAAUUAUACUGCAAUAAGAUGGAUUUCUAAGGAAAAUGUCAAAGAAAUGCAAAAGCAGAGAGAAUAGCAAAGGCUUCCAGGCGCGAGGAUUAUGAAUGUUUCAUCACUUAUUUUGAGGCAGAUCGCAGCCACUCCAUCGUCUCAGAGUAUCAUUAACACACCUAAAAAAGCGUUAUUCUUUAAACUCACGAAAUAUCCACUCAGGCUUCAAAUUUCCCAAUUGUCUCAUUUUGUAAAAUAAAACAUUUGGUUCAUUCAAAUCAGGACCCGCAGAGGUCCGUGCACAGCGCUCCUCUGCUGCCUCCUGUCACUCUGGAAGCCCAAGGGCGUCUGGGAGCCGCUGGGAGACACGGCAGUCCCGAGGGGAGGGUCUGGGACUCAGGCAAACAUUCCAGCCAGACUGAGGCAAAGACGAGCUCUAACUGACAGUGCAGCCUCGAAAAGGGCGAGUUGGAUGGUGCUGGGAGCUUCCAUAGAGCUGUGACCACCUGCUUAAGUUAAUGAAAGUGUGUUUUGUUUGUUUUAGGAAAUAAAAGAAAGGAAAGAAGAAGAGUUGGAGAGAUUCUGGUUCCUCUGGCGUGACCGCUGGGCCCCCUACCCCCAGAGUUCCAGAUCCAGUAGUUCUGGGGCGGGGCCUGGAAUCUGCAUUUCCACUGAACUCACAGCGCACGCUGAUGCCGCUGGUCCCGGGACCUCCUUUUGAGAACCUCAGCUCCAUGGACUUCACAAAUACCCGUGGCCAUAGUUUAGGAAUGGUUCUGUCACCCAGGACAUGAGAACCGCCUUAGUUUCUAAAGAUUAAAGAACCAAAAAUAGUGUCUGGCACACAGGUAGCAGGAAAAA
RNAcentral lists this long non-coding RNA (1261 nucleotides) under Equus asinus (donkey). RNAcentral's name for it is "lncRNA (ENSEASG00005032797.1)". The record is from RNAcentral. Lineage: Eukaryota; Metazoa; Chordata; Mammalia; Perissodactyla; Equidae.